This 103-nucleotide non-coding RNA is filed under the name Limimaricola hongkongensis. Its description in RNAcentral is "Loktanella hongkongensis TPP sequence". It matches the Rfam family "TPP riboswitch aptamer (THI element)". Rfam says of the family: Vitamin B(1) in its active form thiamin pyrophosphate (TPP) is an essential coenzyme that is synthesised by coupling of pyrimidine and thiazole moieties in bacteria. The previously detected thiamin-regulatory element, thi box was extended, resulting in a new, highly conserved RNA secondary structure, the THI element, which is widely distributed in eubacteria and also occurs in some archaea. The record is from RNAcentral. Lineage: Bacteria; Pseudomonadati; Pseudomonadota; Alphaproteobacteria; Rhodobacterales; Paracoccaceae. RNAcentral also lists the same sequence under 1 other name.
CCGAAUCCGUUGGGGUGCCCCCGUCGAGGGGCUGAGAGGCGACUGCCGACCCAUCGAACCUGAUCCGGUUAAGACCGGCGUAGGGAACGGAGACAGGGUCGAC